UCCUGGUCACUGUGCACAAUACUGCAGCUACACCACCAUGGAGAAUAACACCAAGGAGAUCAUUCAUGUUGCCACCAUAGACAAGCGGCAAACAUCAUGGAACUCUGUCGUCAUGGAGAAGGAGGGUUUCAUCCAGACUGGACAAGCUUACAUCAGAGAUAAAGCUAGUGGAAAUCUGCACAGAUGCUCAAGGCCAGAUUGGUGCCCUUACUUCAUGUGAUAUAUUGUAUGGAUGCAUGUGUAUAACAGCAAUAUAAAUAUUAUAGUAACAUGACAUUAUUUACCGCUUCAUAGACCCAGACAAAGGCAAAUACAAGGCCCUUGGAAUUCAUCACAGUUUGGACAUGUGGCAUGGUGCGAAGAACCUUGCCAAAAAAAUAGCAGCAGCCGCAAAGAUGAAAGGAUAGUCCAUCCUCUUCAACAGGCUGAAGGACAUAGUCAACCAUUUUCGGUGGUGUUGCAAGACUGCCGACACACGUGGGCAGUUUCUUGCAUUAUGGGUUGGCAUCCUUCACCAUGUCUGCAACAUUCACACCUGGACUAUGGGAAGCUGCAAACACGGGCACCUUGAAUCGGAGCAAAUGUGAGUAAAGAUGUGGAUCCAGAGAGACUCCCAGUGCCACAAAGCGUUAGUGCAUAUAGUUCUCAAUAAAAGGUGGCAGAAAGAUGUUCACAAAUAUCUGCGAUUGAGGUAGUGUGGCUAUACUUUUUCACACUACAGACCUAGAGUCAGUCCAGAAUCAUAUCCUCAUGUUUGCCAGCAAGCGCUAUGCUUUCAGCCCCCCAGUUUAUGAGGCAAGACUUCUGCUUGCUGCUUUGGACUACAAUUUCCAUCGGAACCUACCAACAAUGAAAACGUUGGACAUCAAAGAGAUGUACGUUUUACACUUAUAUAAUAUUCCCAUUCAUAGUACAAUAUUCAGCCAAUGUUUUAUAUGCAUUUGAUUGUCUUUACACUCAAGGUUUUCUCUUGUUCUACUUACAAACUGAUAUUAAAUGGUUGUAAUUUGUGUAAUUUCAGUUUCAAAACAUUGUAUAAGAAGAACGCUAGAAGAUACAGUGUGUAUACCUUGAAAUCUGAUCAAAACUCCAAGAUCUGCGCUUCUAGAGAUCUGCUGUGAUGGGACCAGCAAAGGGUUGCUUGGAUGGUCUGUUGAAGGACAACAAUGUAACCCCCUCUUUAAAUUUCAUAACAUAUUAUUUAUUACAAAAUGCCUUUCAGCCAUUCGUUCACAAAAUAACACAUCAACAACAUGAGAGACUACUGCUGCAUAAACUGUACAACUGUUGAUAUAAAAUGAACCAUCUAAAACCUAACUCAUUCUCACUCCCAAGUUGUCACAUAUGUACGAAUGGUCAAGACCCUUUGUUGUCACUUUAUAACGCACUUGAGAGCCCCAUAGUCAUAGUUCAACAUACUGGGGAAAGCCCUGUAGCAUAGUUUUUGAAUGCUAAAGACAGGUGUAGAAUAUUUAACACUAGUGUAGCACUUUAGCUAACUUACCAACCUAAGUUCUGAGAAGUAUAGUAGGUGUAAGAAAUAGACUGUGUGUGAUUAAAGAAGAGUGGGCAGGUUUAUUACAGCACCUUUAACACUCUCAUAGUACACCGACCAUGUUUGAAACAAUCCCCAGAAUAUGAAGAGCUCUUUCAUAAAAAAUUCAAUUUUAAAAAGUGUCCAGGGUCUUUCAGUUAUUUGCAUCUCUACCUGGGAAGGAUAAUGGACGUGUGGUGGAUCUUUCUUAUCUGCCAGUGUCCUAUAAUCUGAUGUGUCAGUGCUGUUGAAUGGGAUCCGAAGCAGCUGACCAUACCGUGGUCCGAUCUCAUCGUAUAGGGUGCAUCAUCUCUGGGACUCGCUCACCAUCUGCAUCCAGGGAAGAGUUGACCUCUAAGUUACAACCCAGGGUCUCAAAAACCAGUCUGCACAUAUAGUAUGGAAUAAAUCAGAUAAAUCAUCACAGUCAAUGUUCUUCAAAUAAGAUCUCAUCCCGUUUGUCAAAAUUCAAUAUCAUCACCCUUUUGUCUAGGGAAUCUUCUUAAGUUUUACAUUGUUAUACCAAAGAUUUAUAACUUUACCAGGUAGCAUUUAAGCAAGACAUCACUACUAUGAAUUGAUUAAAUUUCUCCAUCUCUCAGCAUUACAUUACAUUACUGAACAGUUUUCCCAUUUUAGGCAAGGAAAUUACCUUUAACAUGUACAUACACAAUACUGUAAAUAAAAAUACCUCUUAAGGUAUUACAUGUAGCUUACACAGCCAAAAGUACCUCCAGAGAUUAGUUUGAAACCACGACACAACAAAAUACUGUUGAACAGUUCACAACAUCGCAUUCACAACAUCCUCCGACUGCUUUUAACUUACAGUAAUAUGGUUUUAACCCACCCAUUUAAGCUAGCAUCACGCUGCACUUUUAGCUCUCUCCUGAAAGUUACAAAGGUUACUCACCGGAGUUUCCAAGGUAAAAAAAAACAACUCCUUAGGCAAAUGGCGGCAAAAUCCCGAAUGAUGGUGUUUUUACACUUAAGACCCGUUUCUGGGCCCAUGGGAUCUCGUUUUUCCAGCUUAGCCCGCUUCUCUCUGUUCUUCGUCGUUGCGGUCUGGCGCUACAGUGAGCGCAUACUGCAGAGAUUACUGGAUGCGCCGAGGGUCAAUAUAGCGC
Micropterus salmoides (largemouth bass) is the source of this 2658-nucleotide long non-coding RNA. RefSeq lists it as uncharacterized. The record is from RefSeq and is a predicted model, not a curated record. The transcript has 3 exons. Lineage: Eukaryota; Metazoa; Chordata; Actinopteri; Centrarchiformes; Centrarchidae.